CAUCAUCAAGCUUGCUUUGAUGGAUGGCGACCGGCGCACGGGUGAGUAACACGUAUCCCACCUGCCGACAACACUGGGAUAGCCUUUCGAAAGAAAGAUUAAUACCGGAUGGCAUAAUUAUUCCGCAUGGGAUAAUUAUUAAAGAAUUUCGGUUGUCGAUGGGGAUGCGUUCCAUUAGGCAGUUGGCGGGGUAACGGCCCACCAAACCAACGAUGGAUAGGGGUUCUGAGAGGAAGGUCCCCCACAUUGGAACUGAGACACGGUCCAAACUCCUACGGGAGGCAGCAGUGAGGAAUAUUGGUCAAUGGACGAGAGUCUGAACCAGCCAAGUAGCGUGAAGGAUGACUGCCCUAUGGGUUGUAAACUUCUUUUAUACGGGAAUAAAGUUAGCCACGUGUGGCUUCUUGUAUGUACCGUAUGAAUAAGGAUCGGCUAACUCCGUGCCAGCAGCCGCGGUAAUACGGAGGAUCCGAGCGUUAUCCGGAUUUAUUGGGUUUAAAGGGAGCGUAGGCGGGUUGUUAAGUCAGUUGUGAAAGUUUGCGGCUCAACCGUAAAAUUGCAGUUGAUACUGGCGACCUUGAGUGCAACAGAGGUAGGCGGAAUUCGUGGUGUAGCGGUGAAAUGCUUAGAUAUCACGAAGAACUCCGAUUG
This 651-nucleotide ribosomal RNA is filed under the name uncultured Bacteroides sp. RNAcentral's name for it is "bacterial SSU rRNA". It matches the Rfam family "Bacterial small subunit ribosomal RNA", at positions 70 to 715 of the family's 1533-position model. The record is from RNAcentral. Lineage: Bacteria; Pseudomonadati; Bacteroidota; Bacteroidia; Bacteroidales; Bacteroidaceae.